AACGCAAACACCCAAAACAUUUUAUUUUAUAUUUUAUCUUCUCUUGAGCUUCUGAAUUCAUUUGCUAUAGCCAAUAAUUUUCCUACGCAUAAAAUGAAAAUCGGUGCUUUGUUGGUCAUUUUAUUUAUAAUAUGUUUGAUACAGUGUUCAGACGGAAGAAGAAGACCGGGCAAAGCUUUGGCAGUAAAAACUGGCGGACCUCCUCCUCUUCCACCUCGUACACCCAACCUCUCUCCUCCACCUCGUCCACCUAAAAACACUCGUCCACCCAAAUUCGCUCACCCAAGAUAUUUCUGGAAGAUGAUGAAAUAAAAGAAAAAAGUUCCGAAGUUCAGUUUACUACUGACGAUAACAAUGAAUCAGAAGAACAAUCAAAUGAUGAAGAACUUGAAAGAGCAAAAAGAAAUUUUGACAUUUGUAAGAUAAUUAUUCAAUUUUCAAUUUGAAUUAUUAUAAAUUAAUGUUUGUAUUCAAAGUAAAUAAAACAU
Centruroides sculpturatus (bark scorpion) is the source of this 488-nucleotide long non-coding RNA. RefSeq lists it as uncharacterized. The transcript has 5 exons. The record is from RefSeq and is a predicted model, not a curated record. Lineage: Eukaryota; Metazoa; Arthropoda; Arachnida; Scorpiones; Buthidae.